RNAcentral lists this ribosomal RNA (253 nucleotides) under uncultured bacterium. Its description in RNAcentral is "partial 16S ribosomal RNA". It matches the Rfam family "Bacterial small subunit ribosomal RNA", at positions 524 to 776 of the family's 1533-position model. The record is from RNAcentral.
CACGUAGGGCGCGAGCGUUGUCCGGAAUUAUUGGGCGUAAAGAGCUCGUAGGCGGCCUGUUGCGUCCGCUGUGAAAUCCCGGGGCUCAACCCCGGGCCUGCAGUGGAUACGGGCUGGCUGGAGGCAGGCAGGGGAGAACGGAAUUCCUGGUGUAGCGGUGAAAUGCGCAGAUAUCAGGAGGAACACCGGUGGCGAAGGCGGUUCUCUGGGCCUGUUCUGACGCUGAGGAGCGAAAGCGUGGGGAGCGAACAGG